AAUCCAUAGGUUAAUGAGGCGAACCGGGGGAACUGAAACAUCUAAGUACCCCGAGGAAAAGAAAUCAACCGAGAUUCCCCCAGUAGCGGCGAGCGAACGGGGAGGAGCCCAGAGCCUGAAUCAGCAUGUGUGUUAGUGGAAGCGUCUGGAAAGGCGCGCGAUACAGGGUGACAGCCCCGUACACAAAAGCGCAUGUGCUGUGAGCUCGAUGAGUAGGGCGGGACACGUGGUAUCCUGUCUGAAUAUGGGGGGACCAUCCUCCAAGGCUAAAUACUCCUGACUGACCGAUAGUGAACCAGUACCGUGAGGGAAAGGCGAAAAGAACCCCGGCGAGGGGAGUGAAAAAGAACCUGAAACCGUGUACGUACAAGCAGUGGGAGCACAGGUUUACCUGUGUGACUGCGUACCUUUUGUAUAAUGGGUCAGCGACUUAUAUUCUGUAGCAAGGUUAACCGAAUAGGGGAGCCGGAGGGAAACCGAGUCUUAAUUGGGCGUUAAGUUGCAGGGUAUAGACCCGAAACCCGGUGAUCUAGCCAUGGGCAGGUUGAAGGUUGGGUAACACUAACUGGAGGACCGAACCGACUAAUGU
This 589-nucleotide ribosomal RNA is filed under the name Salmonella enterica. RNAcentral's name for it is "partial 23S ribosomal RNA". It matches the Rfam family "Bacterial large subunit ribosomal RNA", at positions 161 to 789 of the family's 2925-position model. Lineage: Bacteria; Pseudomonadati; Pseudomonadota; Gammaproteobacteria; Enterobacterales; Enterobacteriaceae. The record is from RNAcentral.